UACGUAGGGGGCAAGCGUUGCUCGGAAUUACUGGGCGUAAAGGACGCGUAGGCGGGAUGGCAAGUCGGUCGUGAAAUCCCUCGGCUCAACUGAGGAUCGUCGAUCGAUACUGCCGUUCUUGAGGAUUGCAGAGGAGACUGGAAUUCCCGGUGUAGCGGUGAAAUGUGUAGAGAUCGGGAGGAACACCGGUGGCGAAGGCGGGUCUCUGGGCAAUUCCUGACGCUGAGGCGCGAAAGCGUGGGGAGCAAACGGG
Molecule: ribosomal RNA, 253 nt
Filed under: uncultured bacterium
Lineage: Bacteria
Description: partial 16S ribosomal RNA
Rfam family: Bacterial small subunit ribosomal RNA
Source: RNAcentral